This is a non-coding RNA of Salmo salar (Atlantic salmon), 6789 nucleotides long. Lineage: Eukaryota; Metazoa; Chordata; Actinopteri; Salmoniformes; Salmonidae. The record is from RefSeq and is a predicted model, not a curated record.
UCUCCUAUUGAUUGCGCGCGGAUACAGUAAUGUGGACGAGCGUGGCACUAGUGUCUUGCAGUCAGUCCUACUAGUGGAGCUGAGCUGGGCGAGUGUCAGCCGGUAACGGAGUCCGGUGCACACAGAACGAGGGAAGCUUUUCACCAAAAUAACAUUUCAUCAAAAUCGCCAAUGGUCCAAUCGGAGGAGCUUGUUUUCUUAAUCAGAUCAGCUAGUUUGUCAUCCACCAUCUUUGGGACGGAUAAGUCCCAGCCUCUCUCUCUCACACACACUCUCCUCUCACAGUUGCAGAAAAUUGCUCCGCAGCCCUGUGCUGCACCUUAAUGAACCCAAUUGGUGCACUGUGAGCGACCAUCAUAAAUCUGGAGAAUUUUCAGCAUCUUCGGGGUUGCUUAUGAAUUUGCUUAGGCAGACCCUUUUAAGGAGUUGAGAACAUACACGGGUUGGAGAAAUUGCGAAAAUGGCACAAAACGUGGUUCUAUUUUUAUUGUGGCUUUCGGGCAGAUCACUUGCGGGAUUUCCCAAUCAGAUUAAUAUAGGUGGUCUGUUCAUGCGGUCCACUGUGCAGGAGCACAGUGCGUUUAGGUUCGCUGUUCAGCUCUACAACACCAACCAGAACACUACGGAGAAACCCUUCCAUCUCAAUUACAACGUAGACAACCUCGAGUCGUCCAACAGCUUCUCAGUCACCCAUGCAUUCUGCUCUCAGUUCUCCCGAGGGGUCUAUGCCAUCUUCGGCUUCUACGAUAAAAAGUCUAUGAACACCCUGACUUCAUUCUGUGGGGCGCUGCACACCUCCUUCGUCACGCCCAGUUACCCCACCGACAACGAAGUGCAGUUUGUCAUCCAGAUGAGACCUGCACUGCGUGGGGCCGUCCUCAGCCUGCUGUCACACUACAAGUGGCAGAAGUUCGUUUACCUCUACGACACUGACAGAGGUUUCUCUAUCCUUCAGGCUAUCAUGGAGUCGGCUGUAACCAACAACUGGCAGGUAACGGCUCGGUCUGUGGGGAGCAUCACAGAUGCAGCAGAGUUCAAACGGAUCAUCGAGGAGAUGGACAGGAGGCAGGAGAAACGCUACGUCAUUGACUGUGAGGUGGACAGGAUCAACACUAUCCUAGAACAGGUGGUCUCUCUGGGGAAGAACGCCCGUGGAUACCACUACAUCCUGUCUAACCUGGGUUUCUCCAAUGUGAGCUUGGACAAGGUCUUCCUAGGCGGGGCCAACAUAUCAGGCUUCCAGAUAGUGAGCCCUGAGAACCCCAUCGUUCAGCAGUUCCUACAGCGCUGGGAGAGACUGGAUGAAAGGGAAUUCCCAGAGGCCAAGAACACCCCACUCAAGUACACGUCAGCUCUGACCCACGAUGCAAUCCUGGUGAUCGCGGAGGCGUUCCGGUAUUUGCGGCGCCAACGCGUAGACGUGUCACGGCGAGGGGGCGCAGGAGACUGUCUGGCCAACCCUGCCGUGCCAUGGAGCCAGGGCAUCGACAUCGAGAGAGCUCUCAAAAUGGUCCAGGUCCAGGGGAUGACGGGGAACAUCCAGUUUGACAGCUAUGGCCGGAGGUCCAACUACACUAUAGACGUCUAUGAGAUGAGGACAGGGGGGCCCAAAAAGAUUGGAUACUGGAACGAGUACCAGCGAUUAGUAAAUUUGUUAGAACAACAGGUGGUCGCCAACGAGUCUUCUUCUGUGGAAAACCGAACGAUUGUGGUCACUACUAUUAUGGAAGCCCCUUAUGUGAUGUACAAGAAACACCAGAUGAAUCUGGAGGGGAAUGACAGAUAUGAAGGCUACUGUGUCGAUUUAGCUGCUGAAAUUGCAAAACACGUGGGGAUAAGAUACAAACUGUCAGUAGUAGCAGACGGGAAGUAUGGUGCGCGGGAUCCAGACACCAAGACGUGGAACGGGAUGGUGGGGGAACUGGUCUAUGGGAGAGCAGAUAUAGCUGUGGCACCUCUCACCAUAACCCUGGUCCGUGAGGAGGUGAUCGACUUCUCCAAGCCCUUCAUGUCUCUGGGCAUCUCCAUCAUGAUCAAGAAGCCCCAGAAGUCUAAACCCGGGGUGUUCUCCUUCCUGGACCCGCUGGCCUAUGAGAUCUGGAUGUGUAUCGUGUUCGCCUACAUCGGUGUCAGCGUGGUCCUGUUCCUGGUCAGCCGUUUCAGCCCUUAUGAGUGGAACCUGGAUGAACAGGAUGAGACCAAAGACCCCCAGACACCUCCAGAUCCUCCCAACGACUUUGGCAUCUUCAACUCUCUGUGGUUCUCUCUGGGAGCCUUCAUGCAGCAAGGAUGUGAGAUAUCACCCAGGUCCCUAUCAGGGAGAAUAGUAGGGGGCGUGUGGUGGUUUUUCACUCUCAUCAUCAUCUCCUCCUAUACGGCCAACCUGGCUGCUUUCCUCACAGUGGAGAGGAUGGUGUCCCCCAUAGAGAGUGCUGAGGACCUGGCUAAACAGACUGAGAUCGCCUACGGAACUCUGGAUGCUGGUUCCACCAAAGAGUUCUUUAGGCGAUCCAAAAUAGCAGUCUAUGAGAAAAUGUGGUCAUACAUGAAAUCGGCCGAACCGUCAGUGUUUGUCAAGACCACGCCAGACGGGGUGGCACGGGUACGAAAGUCCAAGGGAAAGUUUGCUUUCCUGCUGGAGUCCACCAUGAACGAGUACAUAGAGCAGAGGAAACCCUGCGACACCAUGAAAGUGGGCGGAAACCUCGACUCAAAAGGAUACGGUGUGGCCACACCCAAAGGCUCAGCAUUAAGAAAUGCUGUUAACCUGGCAGUGUUAAAACUGAAUGAGCAAGGCCUGUUGGACAAAUUGAAAAACAAAUGGUGGUACGACAAGGGCGAGUGCGGCAGCGGGGGAGGUGACUCCAAGAACUCCUGUAAACCUUGCCGUAUUGAAACUCAGUGAACAAGGCAUCUUAGACAAGCUGAAAAACAAAUGGUGGUACGAUAAGGGUGAAUGUGGAACCAAGGACUCUGGAAGUAAGGUCAGUCUCCGCAGGUCUUCUGUGCUGAUUCCCAGUGUUCAUAUGAACAAAUACUAAACUAUACUGAAACAUCUAGAUUAGCUAUACUGUCUAUCCCUUUACCUCUUAGUAUGUUAUUUAUUCAUACAAACAACAUUCUGCCACAUACGUGUAACAAAAAUGGAGAAGUGGCUCCAAUCCAAUAUGCACUAUUCCCCCAAUUCUAAUCACAUCCCAAAAAUAUUUUGUUGGGCUUAUGUUAAUGUUAAAGUAAUUUUUAUAGAAAUAGGUAGUGAUUUUUUUUCCCCACACAAACUGUAAUGGUACAUUCCAUUAGGAUAUGCUUGGGGAAGUUGUAAAUUGUGUAAAAUAAUCAAACACCAUCAUUGAAUAGUUGUUGACUAGCUGUUGACCUGAAGUGCUCUUUUUGCUCAUUUUCACACUUUACAUUCAUGAUAUUCUUACCAUUAUGCUGCCGUUUCUUUUUACUAAAACGUUUCAUUCAAAUUUGAUUUAUCUGUGUUGUUACUAGGUUGCAUGGAAUUGUUUCUAUUGGGAACUUUACUAACUUCCUGUGGUGGGGUGAACAAACAAAGUGUUCUUGUUGCUUCCAAUUAACUUCAGUAAGGUGUUACAACACCAUGAGGUGUUUUUCAGGUCUUUGUCUGAACAAGGAGUUGCAAUGAAGAGAUCUUGUUGUUUCCACCCCACAUGAAGUCUAAGAACGUAAUACUCCUCUUAAUUUAACCCUCUGAGACCAUAACCAGGCUAAUGAACUAACAGAUCAGUGUCUGUAGCCUCGACGGCUUAGCUAGAUAUUUUCCACAGAUAUAAACUCUCAGUCAAACCUCAAAGGGUUAAACUGCAAAUGGUAAAACUCUCAUGAACAAAUUUUCAAUAAACAUGUUUGGGAAGUAAGCAGCAGCAAAAUGGUUUGAUUCCAUUCUUAAAAUGGCUUUUUGGAUUUUUUUUUAUGUCAGAGAUUUGACUACAUAGUAUCACAGUGUACCAAGACAUUUUUUUUCAGGACAGGGCUUGAAAUGUUGACCUUUGAGUUACUGACCACAGCUUCCUUAUAUGGAAGAAGACCUGUAGAAUAGGGGAAGCUCUACAUUCACCUAGAUCAAACUAAAGCGGUGACUCGUCUCUCCUUCAUUGGAGAGUGGUCUGACUAUGGUGUUCAGAUGUUCCUCACAACUUCUUGGACCACUAUAGGAAAGCCAGUCCAAUCUGGACCUCUUCUAGAGUCAACCUCAGCCAUCCUUUACUUUGUCAACCUUCUGUUGCUAUUAGCCUCUGGAGUCUGUAGUAUGAUCUGCCAUUGGUAGCAUCAGAAACGUUUCAGUCUCAGAGAGAGAGUUUGUAGAAGGGUCUGAUAAUAGAGUAUCCAUGUGAGUUCUGAGUGUUAGGUAUUUUACUGUUAUAUCAACAAGAUUGUAAGGACCAGUUGGAGGCCUAUAGAUACUUUGCUUUAGAGCCGUACUGGUAGGCUGCACUGUUCUCUACAGAACUCUCUCCACCGCAAACCCUCUAACUAUGUUCUUCACAUUCCCCAGGACAAGACAAGUGCUCUCAGCCUGAGCAAUGUGGCUGGAGUCUUCUAUAUUCUGGUUGGAGGGCUGGGGCUGGCCAUGAUGGUGGCUCUGAUUGAGUUCUGUUACAAAUCGCGUGCAGAAACCAAACGGCUCAAACUAGCAAAGAAUGCUGAGAAAUUGAAGCCAGCUCCCCCGACCAACCCCCAGAACUUUGCCACGUACCGAGAAGGUUACAACGUGUAUGGGACAGAGAGCGUUAAGAUCUAAGGGUAUCAUACGCUUCAGCUAGACCAGGUACGGUACCCCUUACCAACGACUGUGACUACUGACCCCAUGAUGAAACGACAUGAACACGUCGGGAUGGGGGUUUCCUCAACUGCAGCUAAAUCCUUUCCUGGCGGCAAAUGGCGACGAUAAUCUGCAAUGAAGACAUGACAGGACUGGUGACAUGAAGAAUUUAAAUCAGUUUACUCCAGUGCCUUAUGUAUGAAACACUCAGAGACUCACAGAAUUACUUAGAACAAUGCAACUAAUCACAACUCACAAACACACAAACAACUAAACAACUAAACAGACAAAUAAACAGAAAGACAGGAUUGUUUUAUGUACAUUUAUUUGAGAUGCUGUGACGAACUAAGAAGAUAAAAGAGAGAGAGAUACCUAAAGCCAUCACUUGCACCCCAAGCACAUUUCCAAGUGCCCGUACAGAAAAUGAAUACGAUAUUACAGAUGAUAAAUUGUUUUUUUCUGCUAAGGGAAUUUGAUCAGAUUAUCCUAAUUAUUCUUGCAGGCCAGGUUUUUACUGGUUAAAUGUGUUUUAAAAUACGUUUGUUGUAGGCACUGUACAGUAAGUCACUUAUUAUUAGAAGAUAGCUUGUUAUAUUGCUGUGACCUUGGAAUUGUUUUGAAAGAUGAAUCAGUUGGUUAAAUAUGCUGGAGCAAAAAUGAUAUUGUAUUGUUGUUGUCCAUGACUCUGAGACCAGGCAGUGGUAGUGCAUCUGAAAUGGCCCCCUAUUCCCUAUGGAGUGCACUACUUCUGACUAGAGCCUCUGGUCAAAAGUAGUGCACUAUAUAGGGAAUAGGGUGUCAUUCUUGACGUACGCACAGGGACUCUUGAACGAGAUGAAUGUGAGAUGCAGCAUUUGGCGCUACAAAACUUAAACAGGCCAUCUCACAAUCCCAGUAUACUGCCAACAGCGUUAUUAAAAAAUGCAGAGGACUGUCUGAGCAAGUUUCAUAGUUGAGUACCUCUCCCAGUGUGUUUUAUGGUGUGUAGAAUAUGAAGAGAAAACUCACUCACACGAUGGCGCUCCAAAAUAGGCUGCUUGUAACUGGAUGUUCAUGUAACCUAAAAUCAUUCAAGUCUUCUGUACAAGCAACUAAAACCAAACCAAAUAGGACAUUCAAAAGUAGAUGAACUGCAAUUCAAACAGUUUGGCUUUUCACCCGUAGUAAUAUGGAUGACCUUGCUAUUUAAAGAAUAAGCUGUGGUUUGAUGAUUUGCUUUCAAUUUUAAUUUCAUUAUAGUGUUUUGUGAAUUUACUUAGUUAAUGAAAUAAAUGAAUAAUAUAAAUAAUUACAAAGAGACCAUGGAUUACUACAAGGCACUUACGCUUACUACAUUUCCCUUUUCUGUUCUACAGACUGGGAUUCCAUACUACAUUCCCUUUUCUGUUCUACAGACUGGGAUUCCAUACUACAUUCCCUUUUCUGUUCUACAGACUGGGAUUCCAUACUACAUUCCCUUUUCUGUUCUACAGACUGGGAUUCCAUACUACAUUCCCUUUUCUGUUCUACAGACUGGGAUUCCAUACUACAUUCCCUUUUCUGUUCUACAGACUGGGAUUCCAUACUACAUUCCCUUUUCUGUUCUACAGACUGGGAUUCCAUACUACAUUUCCCUUUUCUGUUCUACAGACUGGGAUUCCAUACUACAUUUCCCUUUUCUGUUCUACAGACUGGGAUUCCAUACUACAUUCCCUUUUCUGUUCUACAGACUGGGAUUCCAUACUACAUUCCCUUUUCUGUUCUACAGACUGGGAUUCCAUACUACAUUCCCUUUUCUGUUCUACAGACUGGGAUUCCAUAGGAUUUAGGAAGACAUUUAAUCACCUAAAACCGUGGAAAGAUAGUUUAACACACAAAAAAGAAAAACAAUUCUUAUAAAGGGAAGAAAUAGGAUAUAAACAUUUGUAAAGAAUGAGACGUGUACAUUUAUUUAAAUUAGAUUUAUUUAUUAAGGCUACACAAGAAAGGAGUGAUGGUUUCCCAAUUUUUCUAAGAAAUUGCAU